GAUGAACGCUAGCGAUAGGCUUAACACAUGCAAGUCGAGGGGCAGCAUGGUCUUAGCUUGCUAAGACUGAUGGCGACCGGCGCACGGGUGCGUAACGCGUAUGCAACUUGCCUCACAGAGGGGGAUAACCCGUCGAAAGACGGACUAAUACCGCGUACACUCCAUCUUGGGCAUCCAAGGUAGAGGAAAUGAAAUUCGCUGUGAGAUAGGCAUGCGUCCCAUUAGCUAGUUGGUGAGGUAACGGCUCACCAAUGCGACGAUGGGUAGGGGAACUGAGAGGUUGAACCCCCACACUGGUACUGAGACACGGACCAGACUACUACGGGAGGCAGCAGUGAGGAAUAUUGGUCAAUGGGCGAGAGCCUGAACCAGCCAAGUCGCGUGAAGGAUGACUGUCUUAUGGAUUGUAAACUUCUUUUAUACGGGAAUAACAAGAGUCACGUGUGACUCCCUGCAUGUACCGUAUGAAUAAGCAUCGGCUAACUCCGUG
RNAcentral lists this ribosomal RNA (490 nucleotides) under uncultured bacterium. Its description in RNAcentral is "partial 16S ribosomal RNA". It matches the Rfam family "Bacterial small subunit ribosomal RNA", at positions 28 to 507 of the family's 1533-position model. The record is from RNAcentral.